Molecule: ribosomal RNA, 448 nt
Filed under: Campylobacter upsaliensis
Lineage: Bacteria; Pseudomonadati; Campylobacterota; Epsilonproteobacteria; Campylobacterales; Campylobacteraceae
Description: partial 23S ribosomal RNA
Rfam family: Bacterial large subunit ribosomal RNA
Source: RNAcentral
AAAGGUAAGCUACUAAGAGCGAAUGGUGGAUGCCUUGACUGGUAGAGGCGAUGAAGGACGUACUAGACUGCGAUAAGCUAGGUGGAGCUGUCAAGAAGCUUUGAUGCCUAGAUUUCCGAAUGGGGCAACCCAGUAUAUAGAGAUAUAUACUACCAUAAUGGAGCGAACGAGGGGAAUUGAAACAUCUUAGUACCCUCAGGAAAAGAAAUCAAACGAGAUUGCGUCAGUAGCGGCGAGCGAAAGCGUAAGAGGGCAAACCCAGUGCUUGCACUGGGGGUUGUAGGACUGCAAUGUGCAAGAGGAAAGGUUAGCAGAACACUCUGGAAAGUGUAGCCAUAGAGGGUGAUAGUCCCGUAUGCAAAAACCUAACCUUAGCUAGCAGUAUCCUGAGUAGGGCGGGACACGAGAAAUCCUGUCUGAAGCUGGGUAGACCACUAUCCAACCCUAA